RNAcentral lists this non-coding RNA (27 nucleotides) under Mus musculus (house mouse). The record is from RNAcentral. Lineage: Eukaryota; Metazoa; Chordata; Mammalia; Rodentia; Muridae.
UGCUGAGAUUCUGGCGCGUGCUCUAAC